CACGUAGUUAGCCGGGGCUUCUUACUCAGGUACCGUCAUCUUCUUCCCUGCUGAUAGAGCUUUACAUACCGAAAUACUUCUUCACUCACGCGGCGUUGCUGCAUCAGGGUUUCCCCCAUUGUGCAAUAUUCUCCACUGCUGCCUCCCGUAGGAGUUUGGGCCGUGUCUCAGUCCCAAUGUGGCCGGUCACCCUCUCAGGUCGGCUACUGAUCGUCGCCUUGGUGGGCCGUUACCCCUCCAACUAGCUAAUCAGACGCGGGUCCAUCUCAUACCACCGGAGUUUUUCACACAAGAACAUGCAUCCUCGUGCGCUUAUGCGGUAUUAGCAGUCAUUUCUAACUGUUAUCCCCCUGUAUGAGGCAGGUUACCCACGCGUUACUCACCCGUCCGCCACUCAGUCAAUCUAGCUUCCAUCCGAAAACUUCCGACUAAAUCGCUUCGUUCGACUUGCAUGUGUUAAGCACGCCGCCAGCGUCACUCGUGACGCCAGGACUACUAAA
This 500-nucleotide ribosomal RNA is filed under the name uncultured Lachnospiraceae bacterium. Its description in RNAcentral is "partial 16S ribosomal RNA". The record is from RNAcentral. Lineage: Bacteria; Bacillati; Bacillota; Clostridia; Lachnospirales; Lachnospiraceae.